Molecule: transfer RNA, 71 nt
Filed under: Marmota monax (woodchuck)
Lineage: Eukaryota; Metazoa; Chordata; Mammalia; Rodentia; Sciuridae
Description: tRNA.Ala
Rfam family: tRNA
About the family: Transfer RNA (tRNA) molecules are approximately 80 nucleotides in length. Their secondary structure includes four short double-helical elements and three loops (D, anti-codon, and T loops). Further hydrogen bonds mediate the characteristic L-shaped molecular structure. tRNAs have two regions of fundamental functional importance: the anti-codon, which is responsible for specific mRNA codon recognition, and the 3' end, to which the tRNAs corresponding amino acid is attached (by aminoacyl-tRNA synthetases). tRNAs cope with the degeneracy of the genetic code in two manners: having more than one tRNA (with a specific anti-codon) for a particular amino acid; and 'wobble' base-pairing, i.e. permitting non-standard base-pairing at the 3rd anti-codon position.
Source: RNAcentral
GGGGUUGUGGCUCAGAGGUGGAGCGCUUGCCUAGCAUGCAUGAGGCACUGGGUUCAAUCCUCAGCACCACA